RNAcentral lists this ribosomal RNA (550 nucleotides) under uncultured bacterium. RNAcentral's name for it is "bacterial SSU rRNA". It matches the Rfam family "Bacterial small subunit ribosomal RNA", at positions 35 to 576 of the family's 1533-position model. The record is from RNAcentral.
GCUGGCGGCAUGCCUAACACAUGCAAGUCGAACGGUAACAGCGGGAGCUUGCUCCCGGCUGACGAGUGGCGGACGGGUGAGUAAUGCAUAGGAAUCUGCCCAGUAGCGGGGGACAACCUGGGGAAACUCAGGCUAAUACCGCAUACGCCCUACGGGGGAAAGCGGGGGACCUUCGGGCCUCGCACUAUUGGAUGAGCCUAUGUCUGAUUAGCUUGUUGGUAGGGUAACGGCCUACCAAGGCGACGAUCAGUAGCUGGUUUGAGAGGAUGAUCAGCCACACUGGGACUGAGACACGGCCCAGACUCCUACGGGAGGCAGCAGUGGGGAAUAUUGGACAAUGGGGGCAACCCUGAUCCAGCAAUGCCGCGUGUGUGAAGAAGGCCUGCGGGUUGUAAAGCACUUUCAGUAAGGAGGAAAACCUGACGGUUAAUACCUGUCGGGCUUGACGUUACUUACAGAAGAAGCACCGGCUAACUCCGUGCCAGCAGCCGCGGUAAUACGGAGGGUGCGAGCGUUAAUCGGAAUUACUGGGCGUAAAGCGCGCGUAGGC